This 334-nucleotide long non-coding RNA is filed under the name Homo sapiens (human). RNAcentral describes it as "non-protein coding lnc-BRF1-31:8". Lineage: Eukaryota; Metazoa; Chordata; Mammalia; Primates; Hominidae. The record is from RNAcentral.
CAGGACUGUUGAAGCCUUCGGAGACCCUGUCCCUCACCUGCGCUGUCUAUGGUGGGUCCUUCAGUGGUUACUACUGGAGCUGGAUCCGCCAGCCCCCAGGGAAGGGGCUGGAGUGGAUUGGGGAAAUCAAUCAUAGUGGAAGCACCAACUACAACCCGUCCCUCAAGAGUCGAGUCACCAUAUCAGUAGACACGUCCAAGAACCAGUUCUCCCUGAAGCUGAGCUCUGUGACCGCCGCGGACACGGCUGUGUAUUACUGUGCGAGUACUUUGACUACUGGGGCCAGGGAACCCUGGUCACCGUCUCCUCAGGGAGUGCAUCCGCCCCAACCCUU